Molecule: transfer RNA, 80 nt
Filed under: Sphagnum rubiginosum
Lineage: Eukaryota; Viridiplantae; Streptophyta; Sphagnopsida; Sphagnales; Sphagnaceae
Description: tRNA-Leu
Rfam family: tRNA
About the family: Transfer RNA (tRNA) molecules are approximately 80 nucleotides in length. Their secondary structure includes four short double-helical elements and three loops (D, anti-codon, and T loops).
Source: RNAcentral
GCUUACUUGGUGAAAAUGGUAAACACGACAGACUUAAAAUCUGUUCCUAUAGGUUAUCGGUUCAAGUCCGAUAGUGAGCA